RNAcentral lists this ribosomal RNA (468 nucleotides) under uncultured bacterium. Its description in RNAcentral is "partial 16S ribosomal RNA". It matches the Rfam family "Bacterial small subunit ribosomal RNA", at positions 28 to 507 of the family's 1533-position model. The record is from RNAcentral.
GACGAACGCUGGCGGCGUGCUUAACACAUGCAAGUCGAACGGAAAGGCCCUGCUUUUGUGGGGUGCUCGAGUGGCGAACGGGUGAGUAACACGUGAGUAACCUGCCCUUGACUUUGGGAUAACUUCAGGAAACUGGGGCUAAUACCGGAUAGGAGCUCCUGCUGCAUGGUGGGGGUUGGACAGUUUCGGCGGUUGGGGAUGGACUCGCGGCUUAUCAGCUUGUUGGUUGGGUAGUGGCUUACCCAGGCUUUGACGGGUAGCCGGCCUGAGAGGGUGACCAGCCACCUGGGGACUGAGAUACGGCCCAGACUCCUACGGUAGACAGCAGUGGGGAAUAUUGCACAAUGGGCGCAAGCCUGAUGAAGAAAUCCCCCGUGCGGGAAGACGGCCUUCGGGUGGUAAACCGCUUUCGCCUGUGACCAAGCGUGAGUGACGGUAAUGAGUAAAGAAGCACCGGCUAACUACGUG